AGUGAACGCUGGCGGUAGGCCUAACACAUGCAAGUCGAACGGCAGCACAGUAAGAGCUUGCUCUUACGGGUGGCGAGUGGCGGACGGGUGAGGAAUACAUCGGAAUCUACUUUUUCGUGGGGGAUAACGUAGGGAAACUUACGCUAAUACCGCAUACGACCUACGGGUGAAAGCAGGGGAUCUUCGGACCUUGCGCGAUUGAAUGAGCCGAUGUCGGAUUAGCUAGUUGGCGGGGUAAACGCCCACCAAGGCGACGAUCCGUAGCUGGUCUGAGAGGAUGAUCAGCCACACUGAAACUGAAGCACGGUCCAGACUCCUACGAGAGGCCGCAGUGGGGAAUAUUGGACAAUGGGCGCAAGCCUGAUCCAGCCAUACCGCGUGGGUGAAGAAGGCCUUCGAGUUGUAAAGCCCUUUUGUUGGGAAAGAAAAGCAGCAGGUUAAUACCCCGCUGUUCUGACGGUACCCAAAGAAUAAGCACCGGCUAACUUCGUG
This 492-nucleotide ribosomal RNA is filed under the name uncultured bacterium. RNAcentral describes it as "partial 16S ribosomal RNA". It matches the Rfam family "Bacterial small subunit ribosomal RNA", at positions 29 to 507 of the family's 1533-position model. The record is from RNAcentral.